UACGGAGGGGGCUAGCGUUGUUCGGAAUUACUGGGCGUAAAGCGCACGUAGGCGGUUGCGCAUGUCAGAUGUGAAAGCCCCGGGCUUAACCUGGGAAUUGCAUUUGAAACUGCGCGGCUAGAGGCCGGAAGAGGGUAGUGGAAUUCCCAGUGUAGAGGUGAAAUUCGUAGAUAUUGGGAAGAACACCAGUGGCGAAGGCGGCUACCUGGUCCGGUUCUGACGCUGAGGUGCGAAAGCGUGGGGAGCAAACAGG
RNAcentral lists this ribosomal RNA (253 nucleotides) under uncultured bacterium. RNAcentral's name for it is "partial 16S ribosomal RNA". It matches the Rfam family "Bacterial small subunit ribosomal RNA", at positions 524 to 776 of the family's 1533-position model. The record is from RNAcentral.